CUAGAUAGCCUGGGUAACCCUAAGNCUUUAAAAAGCUAAGCAGAGUCAGCCCUGGUUUGUUCUUGGAUGGGAGACCACUAGGAACACCCAGGGGCAAUUUUUU
RNAcentral lists this ribosomal RNA (103 nucleotides) under Salvator merianae (Argentine black and white tegu). The record is from RNAcentral. Lineage: Eukaryota; Metazoa; Chordata; Lepidosauria; Squamata; Teiidae.